This 1481-nucleotide ribosomal RNA is filed under the name Limosilactobacillus reuteri. RNAcentral's name for it is "Lactobacillus reuteri 16S ribosomal RNA". It matches the Rfam family "Bacterial small subunit ribosomal RNA". Lineage: Bacteria; Bacillati; Bacillota; Bacilli; Lactobacillales; Lactobacillaceae. The record is from RNAcentral.
CUCAGGAUGAACGCCGGCGGUGUGCCUAAUACAUGCAAGUCGUACGCACUGGCCCAACUGAUUGAUGGUGCUUGCACCUGAUUGACGAUGGAUCACCAGUGAGUGGCGGACGGGUGAGUAACACGUAGGUAACCUGCCCCGGAGCGGGGGAUAACAUUUGGAAACAGAUGCUAAUACCGCAUAACAACAAAAGCCACAUGGCUUUUGUUUGAAAGAUGGCUUUAGCUAUCACUCUGGGAUGGACCUGCGGUGCAUUAGCUAGUUGGUAAGGUAACGGCUUACCAAGGCGAUGAUGCAUAGCCGAGUUGAGAGACUGAUCGGCCACAAUGGAACUGAGACACGGUCCAUACUCCUACGGGAGGCAGCAGUAGGGAAUCUUCCACAAUGGGCGCAAGCCUGAUGGAGCAACACCGCGUGAGUGAAGAAGGGUUUCGGCUCGUAAAGCUCUGUUGUUGGAGAAGAACGUGCGUGAGAGUAACUGUUCACGCAGUGACGGUAUCCAACCAGAAAGUCACGGCUAACUACGUGCCAGCAGCCGCGGUAAUACGUAGGUGGCAAGCGUUAUCCGGAUUUAUUGGGCGUAAAGCGAGCGCAGGCGGUUGCUUAGGUCUGAUGUGAAAGCCUUCGGCUUAACCGAAGAAGUGCAUCGGAAACCGGGCAACUUGAGUGCAGAAGAGGACAGUGGAACUCCAUGUGUAGCGGUGGAAUGCGUAGAUAUAUGGAAGAACACCAGUGGCGAAGGCGGCUGUCUGGUCUGCAACUGACGCUGAGGCUCGAAAGCAUGGGUAGCGAACAGGAUUAGAUACCCUGGUAGUCCAUGCCGUAAACGAUGAGUGCUAGGUGUUGGAGGGUUUCCGCCCUUCAGUGCCGGAGCUAACGCAUUAAGCACUCCGCCUGGGGAGUACGACCGCAAGGUUGAAACUCAAAGGAAUUGACGGGGGCCCGCACAAGCGGUGGAGCAUGUGGUUUAAUUCGAAGCUACGCGAAGAACCUUACCAGGUCUUGACAUCUUGCGCUAACCUUAGAGAUAAGGCGUUCCCUUCGGGGACGCAAUGACAGGUGGUGCAUGGUCGUCGUCAGCUCGUGUCGUGAGAUGUUGGGUUAAGUCCCGCAACGAGCGCAACCCUUGUUACUAGUUGCCAGCAUUAAGUUGGGCACUCUAGUGAGACUGCCGGUGACAAACCGGAGGAAGGUGGGGACGACGUCAGAUCAUCAUGCCCCUUAUGACCUGGGCUACACACGUGCUACAAUGGACGGUACAACGAGUCGCAAGCUCGCGAGAGUAAGCUAAUCUCUUAAAGCCGUUCUCAGUUCGGACUGUAGGCUGCAACUCGCCUACACGAAGUCGGAAUCGCUAGUAAUCGCGGAUCAGCAUGCCGCGGUGAAUACGUUCCCGGGCCUUGUACACACCGCCCGUCACACCAUGGGAGUUUGUAACGCCCAAAGUCGGUGGCCUAACCUUUAUGGAGGGAGCCGCCUAA